CCUACGGGAGGCAGCAGUGGGGAAUCUUGCGCAAUGGGGUCAACCCUGCCGCAGCAACGCCGCGUGAGUGAAGACGUAUCUCGGUAUGUAAAGCUCUAUCAGCGGGGGAGAAGGAAGACGGUACCCGACUAAGAAGCCCCGGCUAACUACGUGCCAGCAGCCGCGGUAAUACGUAGGGGGCAAGCGUUAUCCGGAUUUACUGGGUGGAAAGGGAGCGUAGACGGCGUCGCAAGUCUGAAGUGAAAGCCCGUGGCUCAACCGCGGAACCGCUUUGGCAACUGCGUGGCUGGAGUGCUGGAGAGGUAAGCGGAAUUCCUGGUGUAGCGGUGAAAUGCGUAGAUAUCAGGAGGAACACCGGUGGCGAAGGCGGCUUACUGGACAGUGACUGACGUUGAGGCUCGAAAGCGUGGGGAGCGAACAGGAUGAGAUACCCUGGUAGUC
This 441-nucleotide ribosomal RNA is filed under the name uncultured bacterium. RNAcentral describes it as "partial 16S ribosomal RNA". It matches the Rfam family "Bacterial small subunit ribosomal RNA", at positions 338 to 795 of the family's 1533-position model. The record is from RNAcentral.